RNAcentral lists this non-coding RNA (22 nucleotides) under Arabidopsis thaliana (thale cress). The record is from RNAcentral. Lineage: Eukaryota; Viridiplantae; Streptophyta; Magnoliopsida; Brassicales; Brassicaceae.
AAAGUCCUCGUGUUGCAUCCCU